UCAAACUUGGUCAUUUAGAGGAAGUAAAAGUCGUAACAAGGUCUCCGUUGGUGAACCAGCGGAGGGAUCAUUAAAGAGUUGUAAAACUCCCAAACCCAUGUGAACAUACCUGUUGCCUCGGUGGGCUACCCUGUAGCUACCCUGUAGUCUGCCGAAGGAACUCUAAACUCUUGUUUAUCAGUAUCAUCUCUGAAUAUAACUUUUAAAUAAGUCAAAACUUUCAACAACGGAUCUCUUGGUUCUGGCAUCGAUGAAGAACGCAGC
Molecule: unclassified non-coding RNA, 264 nt
Filed under: uncultured fungus
Lineage: Eukaryota; Fungi
Description: partial contains small subunit ribosomal RNA, internal transcribed spacer 1, and 5.8S ribosomal RNA
Rfam family: Eukaryotic small subunit ribosomal RNA (bases 1-73)
Source: RNAcentral